RNAcentral lists this ribosomal RNA (502 nucleotides) under uncultured bacterium. RNAcentral's name for it is "bacterial SSU rRNA". It matches the Rfam family "Bacterial small subunit ribosomal RNA", at positions 28 to 523 of the family's 1533-position model. The record is from RNAcentral.
GACGAACGCUGGCGGCGUGGAUUAGGCAUGCAAGUCGAACGGUAUCAUCCUUUCGGGGGUGAGAGAGUGGCGAACUGGUGAGUAACACGUAGGUUAUCUACCCUCAAGACGGGGACAACCCAGGGAAACUUGGGCUAAUACCGGAUGUGAGCAACUUUUAGUUGUUUGAAAGGUGGCGUAAGCUGUCGCUUGGGGAUGAGCCUGCGUCCUAUUAGUUAGUUGGUGAGGUAACGGCUCACCUAGGCAAUGAUAGGUAGGCGGCCUUAACGGGUGGUCGCCCACACUGGGAUUGAGAUACGGCCCAGACUCCUACGGGAGGCAGCAGUCGAGAAUAGUCUACAAUGGUCGGAAGACUGAUAGUGCGACGCCGCGUGAACGAUGAAUCCCUUCGGGGUGUAAAGUUCUUUUAUAUGUGAGCAGUGCUUCUUAUAUUAACAGUAUGGGAGAGAGAUAUUAGCAUAUGAAUAAGCAACGGCUAACUCCGUGCCAGCAGCCGCGGUAA